GAUGAACGCUGGCGGCGUGCCUAAUACAUGCAAGUCGAGCGAACAGACGAGGAGCUUGCUCCUCUGACGUUAGCGGCGGACGGGGGAGUAACACGUGGAUAACCUACCUAUAAGACUGGGAUAACUUCGGGAAACCGGAGCUAAUACCGGAUAAUAUAUUGAACCGCAUGGUUCAAUAGUUAAAGACGGUUUUGCUUUCACUUAUAGAUGGAUCCGCGCCGCAUUAGCUAGUUGGUAAGGUAACGGCUUACCAAGGCAACGAUGCGUAGCCGACCUGAGAGGGUGAUCGGCCACACUGGAACUGAGACACGGUCCAGACUCCUACGGGAGGCAGCAGUAGGGAAUCUUCCGCAAUGGGCGAAAGCCUGACGGAGCAACGCCGCGUGAGUGAUGAAGGUCUUCGGAUCGUAAAACUCUGUUAUUAGGGAAGAACAAAUGUGUAAGUAACUAUGCACGUAUUGACGGUACCUAAUCAGAAAGCCACGGCUAACUACGUG
Molecule: ribosomal RNA, 497 nt
Filed under: uncultured bacterium
Lineage: Bacteria
Description: partial 16S ribosomal RNA
Rfam family: Bacterial small subunit ribosomal RNA
Source: RNAcentral